This 65-nucleotide transfer RNA is filed under the name Taenia sp. MZH:127052. Its description in RNAcentral is "tRNA-Gly". The record is from RNAcentral. Lineage: Eukaryota; Metazoa; Platyhelminthes; Cestoda; Cyclophyllidea; Taeniidae.
AUACUGUUAGUAUAAGUAUUAUUAUACUUCUUUUCCAAGGAAGUGAUCUAUUUUUAGACGGUAUA